This 17705-nucleotide long non-coding RNA is filed under the name Nicotiana benthamiana. RNAcentral describes it as "long non-coding RNA (NBEN_LNC037757)". The record is from RNAcentral. Lineage: Eukaryota; Viridiplantae; Streptophyta; Magnoliopsida; Solanales; Solanaceae.
UCAUAAAACGACGUAGUACAGAGAGGUUACUACGUCAUUUUAAGGCUUGUUAGUAACAAGUAAAUCCUGUCCAUCCAUUCAUUCUCAUCUGAUGGUCAUAAUUAACUAGAGAAUUUGGAUAUAAGUAUCCUAAAACUGAAUUGAAACCCUAGAAAAAUAUCACCUUCCUUGUACCUACCUGUAAUGCCGCCUCCCCUGUCACUGCUCUACCGUCCGCCGGAAAUCGUCGCCGGCGGCGGCGGAGCUCCAAAUGAGCCCAAAACUUCACCACCAACACUCCUUCCUCUUCUUUCCGACCCCCGUAACCAUUUCCCUCAAAUCCCAUCCAAUCAACUCGAAUCUUAAUCCGAAACUUUCUGGCCAAGUGACAAGUUUUUCCAAAUAAUCCCAAAUUGAUACCAUACAAUCUCCUAGGCUUUCUCUGCACAAAUAUGUGGGUAUUUAACUUUACAUAUAGCUAGGCCGCCUCCAAUUUCCAAUGUAGGGUUGUAUGUGUUUGGACUGGUUUGGGAUUUUUUAAUUCGAAUGAACUUGUGUUAAUGUUAUGGGUCUAUUUCUUAUGAAAUGGACAUAUAAUAUUAACAUUUGAAGUUAGCUUUUCUAUUAAAUUGAUUCGUUGUUUUCUAGUAUAGUUCUUAAUUCCCAGUCUAGUUAGUAAAACCUCGUUGCUUUUAAUUGUUAUAAAUGUUUAGAUUAACUUCUUUUAGGUUGAUUGUCAUUUUUUUCUGUGAAUUCUGAUUCAAUUUUGGUUUCGUUAGUUUGAAUUCUCAAAUGUUAAGUGGUUCAGCUAAUCGUUAGUUUAAUUUGGCUUUUUCUAUUGUUCUGUUGAUGUGAUGUUGAUUUGGGAUAGGGCCAUGAUUCCAGAAAUUGGCUUAGUUUUAUAUGUCUGAUAAAGUUUUUAGGUUCAGUAGUAUAAAGGUUAAAUUUCUGUUAAUCUAUUCAAAUAUAAUUGUAGUUUGUUCAUGUUGAUUUUGUCUGUUUUAUUCUUCUGGAACUCACUCGGGUUGAUUUCAGUUUAUGAUUUUACUUGUUGGUUGUCAAUUCAAUUAGUGUUAAUUGGUAUUGAUUAUUGCAGAGUUUUAAUUAGGUUUAAGGUUUGGAUAUAGCUGAGUGGUCUAGUUUAUUUAACUUUAGUAAGGUGUUAACUGGGGUAAAGAGGUUUAGUGUAGUCAACUAAGGCCAGUAAUUUUAGACUAUUGGAAGGGCAAUUUAGGCAUAGAAAAGGGUAGUUUUAUUAGGAAUAGUAAUUUCAAAAUCAGGGCAGGGGUAGUAUAUGCAUUGUAUAGCUAAAAGAACCUUUCAGGACAUUCAAAAUGGGGCUUUAGUGUAAGUUUUAAUAAUUUUAGUAGUAGUUACUUGAGGAACAAGUUAGAAAUAGGAGGGUGAAAAUGAAAAUAGGUAGGGACUUAUAGUGUAAAUGGAAGAUUUGAGGGCUGCCCUCUUUUGGCUUAUAAAAGGGCAUUCCUAUACCUUGAAACACAAGCGGGGGGAACCUCUAAAAAUCCCCCAAAUACUCCUCAAGCUCAUAGAUCUGAAAAUUAAAAUUUCAGAUCCAAAUUCUUUAGUAUUCUAGCUUCCAUCAAAAGAAAAAACAAAAACAAAGUAGAAGAUCUUUAGGAAACAAAAAAGAGAAGUUCAGAAACUACUGUUCCAUUGAAGAUUUCGGGCUUUGGGUGUUUUAUUUUCAUUUCUUAGUUCGAAAUCUGUUGGUCGAGGGUUCAGAGGUGUUUUGAGUUUUCUUCAAGUGAUUUUAGGUGGUUUUUUGAUUGAGUUUUGCAUUGCGGAAGUUUCAAAAGUUUUGAGUUCAGCUUAGAAUCUGUUUGAAUGCAGUCCAGUAGUUUGUGAAUGAUGUUUUAGUCCCCGUUGGUUUCAAACUCUUUCUUGGUCAUUUCCAAGAAAAUUUGGUUUGUUUUGGAGUUGUCUGAGUCGAUCUUUCAGUUCUGAUUGGGUUUAAAUUUGGGUUGAUUUUGGUGAUUUGGGAAACUGUUAUUGCUUUUGGUUUUCAAACCUCUUCUGGGUUAUAAACUGAUUCCUGGGUUGUGUGUUGUUGCUACUCGCAUAUCUGCUGGUUUGCUGAUAUAGUGCUGCUACUGAUUUUCCUUUUUCUGUUGCAAAUUCCAUUUCCAGGUACAUGCUUGAGCUUGUUGUGAUGUAUUCCUCCCAUGAAAUGGGAAUGCAAUUGAUACUUGAUACAUGCUGAAGUGUCCUUUACUGUUUUAUCAACUCAUUUUAUUGCAGUUACUUUUAGAUUUGGUUUGUCUAAAUGGCAAUGCAAUUGAUACUUGAUACAUGAUGAAGUGUCCUUUACUGUUUUAUCAACUCAUUUUAUUGCAGUUAGUUUAAGAUUUGGUUUGACGAUUUUGCUACUCUAGCUCAUUUGUAAUGAACUGGGCCAAUAUGUAUUGGAUUGAUGAACUUUAAGCAUCAGCUACUCAUGUAAAUGGUUAGACUGAUUUUUGGCCUUUAACCAUGCUAUAGUGUAGUACAAGUCAUAAUUAUUCUCCAUUAAUUGAUACAUAUACAAGGAAAUAAUAGUUAUAAUGUUAUGUCAGGUUGAUAGGUAAGUCUAAGUUAGCUGUAGCUAAAUCCCCUUUAGUUGCCUUUGUGAAUUCGUUUAAAAUGAUAUAGAAAUGAAGAUGGAACAGAAGCAUUAGGAUGUCUGGAUUUAUUCAGAUUUGGAAAUAUUAUACUGCAAUUACAUAAAGUCACGCAUGCUUGGUUACCUUGAAAAGUGAUUUGUCCAUUUCGUUGUUUCAUUUCUGAAUAUAAAAAAAUUUCAUGAUGUGUAAUUAAUGGGCUGUUGACAAUUUUGAUAAGUCCGUUGGUCAGCUUGGUCAAAUUACAGAUAUGGCCAAUUCCAGUUGUUUUAGAAUUAAUUAAUGCAUCAGUGUUAAUCCUUGCCUGUGGUUUCGAUGUUGAGUUGAGGCCUCACCACCGCUUAAGUCUGUUUUGUGCUUAUGCUUGUGCUUACACCAAACAGACUCGACGUGGGUUCAAAGCACCAGAGUCUCUUGGGCCUGUGUUCCAUUCAAGUUGGGCUAAAUAACACCUCUUAAGGGGCUGGCAUUGAAGCUUGUCAACUGCAAGUGUCCAAUGGCAAACUCGCUUGGUCCAUUAAUCCAGACUUGGCUUAAAGGUCACAAUUCAUAUUUUAGUCUAACAUAAGCUCGGGUCUUGAGUUAGGUAGCGGGUUUAAGGUAAUUGGUCCGUCCUUUUGUUUGGUCCCGGAUUUGAAUUCGAAGCCGGAAUGCUAAUAUAAUUAAUUAGGAAUUUCUUUUUCUUUAAGAGACAAACAAAAAAAUAAAAAUAUAGUCGCUUUAGGUUUAUCCUUUAAAAAUAAAAUGAGACGAGCCUCGGCCAAUAAAAAUGCAAAAUUGCCGGAUAAAGGUGUAAAAAGAAUAUUUAGAAAAUCGGGAAGGGUCGUUUACCGAAUUUUACGACCCUCCCAAAAGAUAAUAACGUGUAGACUCUUUUAGACGUGAUUCUAAUAAAUUUACAUUCCUAAAUACACGUGAGAAUUUUAUGCGGCCUAAAUCCAAAUUCUAAAAUGUUGGAUAGAGUAUGCCUAGGAUUGCAGGUUCAUUUCAUGCGGCGCAAUCCGUAUGCACGCUUUAAACGAUGUUUACUUUUCUUCAAUAAAUAUUAUAUUAAAUAAAAGCGGUGAAGCAUAAAAUUGGCACAUAGGCUUUUCAUGUAAUAAAAUCAGAUAAAAGCUUAAUGCAAUAGUUGAGAGACCGUGCUAGAACCACGGAACCCGGGAAUGCUUAACACCUUCUCCCGGGUUAACAGAAUUCCUUAUCCGGAUUUCUGGUUCGCAGACUAUGAACAGAGUUAUCUUUUUCCUCGAUUCGGGAUUCACUCGGUGACUUGGAACACCAUUAAUCUCUCAAGUGGAGAAUCUGAAUAAAUAAUAACUAAAUCUCGUUCUGAUUGUCCUUUAAUUGGAAAAACUCCUUUAGGCCCCUUUGCGGGGGUGUACAGUGAAAAAAGAGGUGUGACAGCUCUGGCGACUCUGUUGGGGAUAAGAAACUAGAACGUUUUGUUCAGGAUUCAGAAUUCGAGCUUAGAAUAAUUGUUGUGUUUGGCUUUACCUGAUUUUGUUACAUGAUCUGUGCCUAAUGUGCUAAUUGACUACUUUCCCCGCUUUGAUAUUUGUUGAACUGUAUAUAAACUGUUCCGAAACCUAUCUCAAGUCUAAGUCUUCUAUAUCACGAAUAAGGGUGUAUUUUGUACGACUUCUUUUCUGUAUAGUGUCAAAUUGCAAUUUAGAACGAGGUUUGGAAAAGUUGCAAAGCCGGCAAAGCUUCUGUAUUCCCGGAUUGCUACCUCCCCCUCGGCUCGAGUUGUCUGCUUGGGUAAGCUAGGUCUAGAACAAACACUCAGGUUUUGAACUUAGAAUAACUCAGUCUCAUGUCGGAUCCCUAGUCGGAGCGCUUAUUAGCGUCAUGUGCAUUUUGACUUAGGGGACCCAACACAGGGGUUGGGUCGGUCUAGGGCUAGCAACCUGAAAUGAAAAAGACCAUCUUGACGCAUCCUACUUGUGUUCUGUGCAUUUAUUUGUUUCGGACCCAUAAGUUGACCGGCUUUUGAAUCUCGGGAAUGUUAAAAAUUUAAGAAAAAGAGAAAAACAGAAAAUAGCAGUUGGAGAGUUAACUGAUUGUUUUGGAAAAAAGCAAUGCCCAAAAACUGUAGAAACUCUGUCGAAAUUUUAGAAAAAAUGUAAAAAAAUAUUUUAUUUUUAAUGGUUUGUUUUACUAAAAAGCAAUGGGAAAUGAAAAAAAGAGAGAGUUCAUUUUUGAAAAAUUGUUUGUUGAAAAGAAAAAGAAAAAAGGCUUUAUUUUAAUUUGGAAAAUAGGUUGUUUGUUGAAAAUGAAAAAAAGUCGUUAUUUUGUCUUGUUUUCAAAAAUAGAAAAGAAAAUAUAUUUUUUUUGCCAUCAAAAAUGAUUUUAAGUCUUGUUUUCGAAAAUGAAAAAGAGAAAAAUAGAUUAUUUUGCUAUAGAAAAUGAACAAAAAAAAGUGUCUUUUAUUUUUAGGCUAUUUUAUUGUUUGUCGAAAAAGAAAAGAAAAGAGUCAUUUAUUUUUAGUUCGAAAAAUAGGUUGUUGUAUUGUUUGUUAAAAAAUAAAAAAAAGAGUCUUUUAUUUUUAAUUAGGAAAAUAGGUUGUCUGUUGAAAAAGAAAAGAACAAAAAAGAGUUUUGCUUUUAAAGUUAUGAAAUGCCAAAAAUGAAAAUGAAAAAGAAUCAUGUUUUAAAAUAGUUCGGUUAAUUUGCCCGAACUGCGCAUGGUUUGAUUCUCACAAGGCGUGAGAUACGUAGGCAACCAUCAUCGGGUCCAACCUCCCCUUUACAAAAAUAGCCCAAAAAUAUCAAAAUUUUAAUUUUUGUCAUAAAUAAACCAGAUGAUGUCGUUUUUGUCAAAAAUAUCCAAAUGUUCCCAAAAGGAACACUGGAAGGCUGGCUUUGCAUAAACAGCCACCUUUGGUCAUAUUUUGAUUUUUGACCCUCACAGCCUUAAAAUUUUCGUCCCCGAAGCGCUGAAAGGCCGUGUUUGGAAUAUCGGAUCAUUUGUUUUAAAUUUUAAAAAUAAGAAAAGAAUUAUAAGUAAGUCGGGUGCUGCCGUUUGUAAAAAAUAGCCAAUGUUCCCAAAUGGGGCGCCGGAAGGCUGACUUUGCAGAAACAACCACCUUUGCUCAUAUUUUUAUUCUGACCCUCACAACCUUAAAAUCUUCGUCCCCGAGGUAGAAGGUCGUGUUUGCAAUACCGGAUCAUUUAUUUUAAUUUGAAAAAACAAAAAAGAAAGUCAGUGGUCAAGUGAAUACCGUUCGGAUUUAAGGUCAAAAUUGGCAUAUAAGGGAAGGAAUCUGUCAAUUUGCUUUUGGGCUUGAAUUUCUUUUGAUUAGAGUAUAUGGAUCGUUUUAUUUUUGAGUCUAUAUUUCGUCGUUAAGUCGGUCAGUUUUGUUGUUAUUAUGAAAAUGGAAAAUUUCAAAAAUGUUUUACUGUCGUUUACCUUUUAUUUGCAAUAACUACGCACGGUAUAAUUCAUGCGAGGUCAUGAUACAUAGGCAAUCUCCAUAAGAUUCGACCACAACUAAAAAAAAGGAAAAAAAAUAAGAAAAGCAAAAGAAAAAAGAAAAAAGAAAAGAAGAAUUGAAUAAAAAAAAUGGGAAAAGUUGUUGUUGAUAAUGAGGACCGACUCAAUCAAUUCUAACAUGUUUUGUUUUGAAUUGUGAAUAAAGUUGAGGUGGUUUGUUUGUGGUAUCUCAUUCAUACAACACAAGGUCGAAUAGCAAGGCAGUCAUGGCAGGCAAAGUGUUGAACACGUGUAUUACUGAUCCAUCUAGGGGCAUUGUUUACUCAGAGUCAAAGUUGAAAGAAGAGGUUUUGAUACUGAAAAGACAGAUAGUCGAAAUGCACAAAGCUUGGGCCAGUGGGUGUCCUCUACCAUCAGUCCCCGAUGCCCAACAUUACAUUCCAGAACAAAUUUUAAAGGCCUCGAGUCCAUACCAUCACACUCUUCAUUUUGGGUCUCCCGGUGAUACUACGAAGCUUGCUAAAACAGUGGAUAGGAAUGAGAUAUCCAGAAAGCUGGAAGGGUUUAAGAUGCCGAAGUUUAAUUCGUAUGAUGUGCGGGGAGAUCCAAUGGACCAUUUGGGGGAUAAUUGAAAUACAGCGAGGAAUGUCGGCAAGGAAGAUGGGUUGUUGAUGUCGCAUUUCAGUGAGAGCCUGAUUGGGGCAACCUUGAAAUGGCAUGAUCGUCAAGAUAUCGGUAAGUGGCACACUCUGGGAAUCAUGGCUCGAGAUUUUUGCGACAUUUUCAGUACGAUAAAGACAUUGUCCUAUACCGUUCCUCCCUAUCUAGAAUAGAAAGAAAACUAGGGGAGAGCUUUAGAGAGUUUGGGCUCAGAUGGAAGUAGCAAGCUGCUCGAGUCAAUACCCCGAUUGGUGAAGAAGAGAUGGUUGAAAUUUUCAUACAAUCCUAGGGGCCCACUUACUUCAAUCAUUUUAUCCCUGCCGUGGGCAGACCUUUCGAUGAUAUGUUAAGAAUGGAGGAGUUCGUAGAACAAAGAAUCAAGUUGUGACGACCCGACCGGCCGUCUUUAGCAUUUAUGCCCCGUUCCCCCAUUAACUGCUUUCCCGAAGUUCAUUUCUGCUAUUUUGGGUUGGCGGGAUGUUCGAUAAUAGAAUUCGGAGUGUUUUGGGACACUUAGUCCCUAAGUGAGAUAUUAUGUAUUGGAAAAUGGCUCGUAAUCAGAACAGUGUGAAUAUGACCUCGGAAUGGAAAUCCGAUGGUUCCGUUAGCUUUGUUAGGUGAUUUCGGAGUUGGGAGCGUGUUCGGAAUGUAUUUUGGAUGUCCGUAGCUCAUUUAGGCUAGAAAUGCCGAAAAUUAGAAUUUUGAAGUUUCCGGUCCAAUAGUGAAUAUUUUAUCCGAGUGUCAGAAUGGGAUUUCAAAAGUUGUUGUAGCACUGUCAUGUCGUUUGGGACGUGCGUGCAAAAAUUCAGGUCAUUCGGACGUGUUUCGGUUAGGUUUUGAAUCGAAAGCGAGUUUUGUUAAGUUUGAAGUUUUCAAGUUCAUAAUAUUGAUUAAUUCGAGUUUACAGCGUUGUUAUAGGUGGUUUAAGGAUUUGGUACAAGUUUUAAUGAUGUUAUGGGAUAUGCUUGUAGGUUUUGUUGAGGUCCCGGGGGCCUCGGGAGUGUUUCGGAUGCCCAAUGGGGCAUGUUUGUGUUGAAAAAGAUUGCAGAGAAUCCUUCAGACAUGUUGCAGAAAUGCCUUCUCUGCGAUCGCAGAAGUGCUCCUGCGAUCGCGUAGUACUUCUUGGGGAGGCAUUUUUUCUUAGCGGUUUUGUACCGAUUCGAGGUAAGUGGUUUGUCUAACUUUGUGUGUGGGCCUCUACCCUUAGGAUAUCCUUGCAUACUUGUGCUAGUUGUUGAAAAUUCACCUUACUUGGCUUACUUAGACUAUGUUUCUUCAUGUAUUUACUGUUAAAAAUGCAACUUCACUUGUUUUAGUUUAGGAAAAGCAUGUUAGUAAUUUAUUUUCUCUAUUUGACGAAAUUGCAUUAUCUGUCCUCUUUGUGCUCAUGCUAGGUUCUAGAUCUUUACAUGUUGUUGCACUUGGCUUCUUCUGUUAAAUAUUGAAUUGUUGUGAAGUGUUUACGAUUGGGAUUACGGGUUCGAUUCCCGGGAGAUCCCCUGUUAUUGAUAUGAUGGACUACGGGUUCAAUUCCUGCGAGAUCCUCUGUUAUUGAUAUGAUGGACUACGGGUUCGAUUCUCGAGAGAUCCUCUGUUAUUGAUAUGAUGGACUACGGGUUCAAUUCCCGGUAGAGCCUCUGUUGUUGAUGUGACGGACUACGGGUUCAAUUUCCAAGAGAUUCUCUGUUAUAGGUGUUACGGACUACGGGGUCAAUUCCUGAGAGAUCCUCAGAUAUAGGUACGAAUGGACUGCGGGUUCAAUUCCUGGAUCUCAAUGUGGCAUCCUGACUUUUGAGUGAUUUUUCUUGUAUUCGUAGAUUGUAUUUGUAGCUUGUUCCGUUUUACUUAUUGUCUUGCUAGAUAUUUGGGAUUUACUUCAUUAUCUACUGUAUUUUAUUCUUACAUUAUUUCUUAUGUUCAUCUCAUUAGGUCAUCAACCUUCCUCGUCACUACUCCACCAAGGUUAGGCUUGGCGUUUACUGAGUACCGUUUUGGUGUACUCAUGCUACUCUUCUGCAAACUUUUGUUGUGCAGAUCCAGGUACUUCUGGUCGAGCGCGCUAUUAGUGACUUCGGAGAUACACUUGGAGAUUUGAGGUAUGCAUCUGUCGCGUCCACAGAGUUGAAGAGUCUCCUUCUAUUCUACUUUUAGCUAGUAGUUUCAUUCAUGUACUCAGUUGUUGUAGACACUUCUGGAUGCUAGAUCCAUAUGUUAUGUUUUACUCUUAUCCUGUGUUUCCCGUGGGUUUCCAGGUCUUUGAGGUUUUACAUUGUUUUGAUGUGAAGUGUAUGUGCCAGGCGGCACCCUAUACAUUUUCUUACGUUAUUCAGUAUUAUUUAUCGUUUUCGUAAAGGUUUUUGAAUUUCCGCAAUGUGUCAGGUUUACCUAGUCGCGAAGACUGGGUGCAAAGACUGGCUGCCAUCAUGACAGGUUCACGAUUGGUGAACUAGGGUCGUGACACAAGUCGGUAAAAAUAAUGACUUGCUCGAAAUAUAUUCAGGACAUCUCGUUAAGCGUGGAAGGGAGAAAGAGAAACAGAAAAGAUGAUCCAAAUGACUCUCCUGAUCAACAUUUCCAACCUCGACAUCGUACCCGUGAAUAUCCUCGUGCACUGGAUGACCCUUCCCAACGUUACUUUUCUCCAUAGAGUUCCCACACACAUACCUCACUUUCCAAGUACCCAGCUCCACAAAAUGCCUAUCCACCCCCACUGGAUAACCCUCCCCAACGUUACUUUUCUCCACAUGACUUCCAAAGACAUACCUCACUCUCCAAGUACCCAACUCCACAAAAUGUAUAUCCACCUCCACGAGCAUACCAAAAACCCCAUAGGUCAGGUUUUAGGCCAAAUCAGGCGUGUCAGAACAAGAGAUUUCUGAAACGAGAAACGGCUCUCACCCCUAUUGGAGAAUCAUAUGCCAGUGUGUUCCAGAAGUUGAAGCAAGUGGGCAUGCUGAAGCCGAUUCAAAUAAAAAUUCCAAACCCUCCAAAAUGUGAUUUUUCUUUAAAGUGUGCAUAUUGCUCAUAUGCUCCGGGGCAUGACACGAAAAAAGUGCUGGAAGCUGAAAAAAUGAAAUGUGAUUUUUCUCUAAUGUGUGCAUAUUGCUCAAAUGCUCCAGGGCAUGACACAAAAAAGUGCUAGAAGUUGAAGGAAGCAAUUAAGGAGCUUAUUGACGCGGGUAACAUCGUCGUACAAAGUACGGAUUCAUCGGACACCAGCCAAAAGCCGUCGCCUGCACAUAAUGGGGUAGAAAUGGUGGGUAUGAUUUGUUUUGAAAAGGAAUGUGAGAAUUCUCUAAGAGCCUCGGAGACCCAAAAACAAUUCGUUGAGGAUGCUCUGAUGAAAAGUUUGUAAAGUUCCUAAUAUUGGUGAUGCAGAAUUCAGCGGCUAAGAUGUCGUAUUUGGUAAUUUGAAAGACGCUCCAUUCCUAGGUCAGCCGGGAAGGAGCUUUGGUGGUCUAUUUUGUUGUCAUUUCUGUUGUCCGGGUUAUUUUCAGGGUUGUAAUCCGGAUAUUAUCUUAUGAUUCAAACCCUUCUAUCCUUUUAUGUGUUUAGUUCCUUUAGUCGUCAUAUCUUAUGUAGUGUUAUCUAGGUUUGUUUUAGUAUUGUACCCCGGUUGUGUUGCUUGUUUUGUUGUUAAACCCUUCCACCGUCUGUUUAAUACAAUUCUCUAUGUUCUUCCAUUUCUAGCAGGUUUGUUUUAGUAUUGUGCCCCAGUUAUGUUGCUUGUUUUGUUGCUAAACCAUUCCACCAUCUGUUUAAUACAAUUCUCUGUUUUCUGCCAUUACUAGUCAUUUUUGUUUAGUUCUCUUUUCUUUCUACAAUUCUUUUCCUGUUGGCUCUAGUGACAUGACAUGCAUGCAUAAUUCUCGGUCUGAUCUUUAAAACCAUUUUGAAGACGAUGAGGGCAUUUGAGGAAACACGAAUAGAUUUGGAUGUUGUGAGAUUGUUUGACGCCUGAACCAUGAAAACUGGGUCAAAAAGAACAAGUCGGCCAAAUUGUUAGAGGUUCGGUCGUGCUAAUAAGAGUAAGAGUGUUGCCCAAUGGUACAUUACAUCUGAUAGAUAUAGAAGGAAAUGUGAGGAAAGGGCCUUUAAUUCUGAUGUGGUCAAGAUAUGCUGUGUAUGGAAUCCUUUGUUCUGAUUAUAUUUAUUUGCAUUUGGCAUAUUUUGAGGUUUGAAAUGACGAAUGUGUUUUUUUCUGCUAUCCAAAUACUUUUUUCCCUUGUCACCCCUUUUGAGCCGUGUUUAUAUUCAUUCAUACCCCUAUUUCGGAAUUGACAGCACAAUGGAGAAGCGCAAGUGCCGCAAUUAAGUAAAAGAAAAAAAAAGAGAAAAGAAAAGAGAAAAGAAAAGGAAAGAAAAGAAAAGGAAAGAGAAGAAAAGAAAGAAAGAGAAGAAAGAAAAGAAAGAAAAGAAAAAUGAAGAAAAGAAAGGAAAAAGCAAGAAAAAUAGAAAGAAAAAGAACAGAAAGAAAAUCACAACAACAUAGUUUCUAUGACACGAACUACGUUUGAAUUGAUCCCGAAAGGGUACGAGGCAGCCUCUCUGAGAUUUAGCCAUUACCAAAUAAAAAUCCAAAAUUCCCCAAGCAAGACACCGAGGCAGAAGUUUUGAUUAUUGAAACAAAUAGGAUUUCGAGGGUUGUAUUUUUAACCCAUUUUGACAUUGUUUUGAGCAUUUUAUACCCUUAUUUUGUAACCCCAUCCAAAAUCCACAUUACGAUCCAAAGAAACACCUUCCGAUCAGUGUUUGAGAAAUGCCAAGUGAAGCAGGUAAGGGUAAUUCAUCUCAGGGGCAACACUACGGUGCAAGCAAGGAAAAUAAAAAUGAGAUAGUCGGAUGAUGAAAAUCUUCACAGGUACCGCAAGGCGAUGAGAGAUGAGAGAAAUAAAAAAUGAGAUAGUCUUAUUGGUGAAAACCUUCACGGGCACCUUGAGGCGACGGUAAGUUGAGAGAAAAAAUAAAAUGAGAGAGGUUUGUUGGUGAAAACCCUUUGGGCACUACAAGCCGAAUAAGGAAUGCGAAUUAAAUGGGAUAAGUGGAGCAUUGAAGCCCAGGUUCAUAGCAAAAGGAACAACAAGAGCUAAACGCCAGAAUUGAUUGAAAGAAUAUCUACAAAUGCAUUUCGUGGUCGUUAAAUUUGGUACUCACAUCAGAUAGGUAUAUAUUUCGUAGUUUUAUCUUUUAGGAAUCAUCUCUUUCCUUUGUCCUUCACUCCAUUCCUCUUUUUUAUUCACUUUCUCUUUUAAGUUUGUUUGAUCAUAACAAGUGAGAAAUGACUUCAAAAUUUGCUAUCAGCUUUCCAAUUUCACAAAAUGGGGGCACAAGCCCGAAAAAACAAUAAAAGUAUUGAGCUGGUAAUACUCAACAUGCUUUGGAGUGAGGCACAAGGAUUGGCUAAAGUCAGUCCAGGACCGGUGCAGAAAACAGAAGGUAUAGGGUCGUGAAUGUAGAAGAGGUAUGACAAAGGAAGUGGUUAGGCCAGAAAAAAGCAGGGGUUUUCAAAUGGAAGUUAGGGAUCAACAGACCCUAAAAGAAGAUAUUGGACCCUAACGGGGAAAAUGGGUAUUUCAAUUACGCAGAUUGUGGGGAAAGUGGUUAAUCAGUAAACAUGCAAGAUCUUCAAGAAGAAUCAGUUGUCAAAGAAAACAUAUGGGGUUAGAUAAGAAGAUUAGAAGUAAUAAUUGAGAGGUAGUCGUCAAGAAGGGCAAACGUUAUCAGCCAAGUUUCAAAGAUGGUCGGACAAUGAAAAGCAUGGAAAGGAGAAAAGGAAAUCCAUUCCCAGCAGGAGUACCGCAACCAACCACCGCACUUUAAACUGACAGAAUUUUCAUUGAUUUGAAAUAGGGGCACAGAAAUGUUAUGCUACAGGAAGAUUAUCAAAUUGGGGCAGAAAAUGUUUUGUCGUGUUGAAAUUUUCUUGAAGUCGGGUAUUCAUCUGAAGAACAUGAAUGUCAGUACAAGUGUUUUUAGAGAGGGAAGUAGUUUUCAGGAAAGAAACACCAGUUUUAAGAAAAAUAAUUUUUGGAGGAAUGAAACAUUAGUUUUUAGGGAGACAGUUUUGAAGGAAGAUAACUCAAGAUAGAAAAAAUAAGUUUCGGAGGAAAAUGAUUAGUCGAUAAAGAUCUUAGUAUGUUGAAUUUUUCACCUAAGAUAAAAAUCUUAGUCUGAUGAAUCUUUCACCUAAGAUGAAGGUAGAAGAUCUUAGUCUGACGAAUUUUUCACCUAAGAUAAAAAUUUUAGUCUGAUGAAUCUUUCACCUAAGAUAAAGGCAGAAGUUGGAAAAGAGAAAGGAAGGCAUAAUUUGGAAAAAGGAAAGGUAGAAGUUUGAAAAAGAAAAGAAGGCAUAAUUUGAAAAAGAAGGGGAAGGCAUAAGUACGAAUAAAGCAAGGAAGGCGUAAUUUGAAAAGAAAGGAAGUUGGAAUUUGGAAAAUUAAGAAAUUCUGAAGUCGAAAAAUGGACCUAGUCUAAUAAAUUAUUUCCUAGAGUCAAAAUCUCAGUCUGAUGAAUCUUUCUCCUGAGAUCACACAAAAAUGGACCUAGUCUGAUGAAUUAUCACCUAGAGUCAGAAUCUUAGUAUGUUGAAUCUUUCACCUUAGUCUGAUGAAUUAUCUCCUAGAGUCAGAAUCUUAGUGUGUUGAAUCUUUCACCCAAGGUAAAAUCUUGGUCUGAUGAAUUUUUUCACCGAAGAUCAUAGAUAAAUCUUACUCCUUUGAAUCUCUCUCCUAAGAUAAAAAUCUUAGUCUGAUGAAUUUUUCACCUAAGAUAAAGAUAAAUCUUAGUCUGUUGAAUCUUUCACAUAAGAUGAAAAUCAUAGUCUGGUGAAUUUUUCACCUAAGAUAAAGAUAAAAAUCUUAGUCUGUUGAAUCUUUCACCUAAGAUGAUCCUACGAUGAAAAUCUUAGUCGGAUGAAAUUUUCACCUAAGAUAAAAGAUAAAGAUCCUAGUCUGUUGAAGCUUUCUCCUAGGAUGAAAAUCUUAGUCUGUUGAAUCUUUCUCCUAAGAUGAAAAUCUUAGUCUGAUAAAUUUUUCACCUAAGAUCAAAAAACGAAAAGUCUUCGUCUACUGAAUCUUUAUCCUAUGAUGAAAAUCUUAGUCCGAUGAACUUUUCACCUAAGAUAAAAAAAUCAAAAAGUCUUAGUCUGAUGAAUUUUUCAUCUAAGAUAAAUUUCAAAUUUUAAGGUUCAUUUCAGUCUUUAAAGUUGCAUUUCAGCCUUAUCACAAUUCAAGUUUUAGUCCUUAUUAGUAUGUGGUAACAAGCAUCUAGUUUUCAAAACUAGGGCAGAAAAUUUUCCUUGUUUUGUCUAUUUUUGUGAAGUCAGGAGACCGCCUGAAGAACAGAGGAAUACAUUUAAGUUUUAUAGUCAGGAUCCCACCUAAAAAUUAGAGGAAUACAUUCAAGUUUUGAAGUCAGGAGGCCACCUGAAGAACAGAGGUAUAACAAUUUUUAGUUUUUACUCAUUCGGUAUCAAGCACCCCAGUUUUCCAAACUGGGGCAGAAAGUUUUCUUUGUUUUGUUUAUUUUGUGCAGUCAGGAGCCCGCCUAGAUAACAGAGGAAUACAUUCAAGUUUUAAAGUCAGGAGCCCGCCUGAAGAACAGAGAUAUUACAAUUCAAGUUUUGGUUAUUAAAUUUUCAUCCAGUAACAAGCACCCAGUUAUCCAAACUGGGGUAGAAAAUUUUCUUUGUUUCGUCUUUUAAAGUCAGGAGCCCACCUGGAUAACAGAGGAAUACAUUCAAGUUCAGCAAUUAAGGGAGAAAGAACAACAUUGCAGUUAGCAAGUUGAAGUAACAACAAGGGAUUUUACCGAGAAAACACAAGACAAUGAGGCAACAAGGAAACACAAGACAACAAGGUAACAAGGAAGUACAAGAGAAUGUUUGAAGAAUCUAGAUAGGACUUUUGUAAUUUAUAGAGCAUAGCUAGUUUAACUUAUUUUUAUCUUUAACAUGGUGUAAUAAGGGAGGUCAUCAAGCAGUAGCAACAGCAAGCGCAGUGAAAUUACAGCUCCUGUUAGUCCCAGCUACCAGACAUUUCCAAACUACACUGACCUGAUUCCUAUUUAGCCUAGGAUAUGUAGGCAACCUCUGAAGAAGGGUGCGGUCAAACUUUUAAAAAAUACUUCACACAGAAUUUUCAAACGGACAAAAAUUGCUCGUAUUUGCUCACUUGUCUUUGCACGAAAACUCUUCGUGUUUUUGAGCAAAGAGGGGCAGAUGUGAGCACGUGAUUUUUACCCUAUUUAUGAUUAAUUCCCAAAAAUUCAAACAAAAUAAUUUUUCUUUAUUUUUACAAUUUUCUGUGCGUUUUUGUGUCAUUUUUUGGUAAUUGUUGCAUUCGUAUUUGUUCCUUUUAAUUCAUGUGAAAAAUAAAAAAAGAUAUACAAUUGCAUUUGCAUUUAAUUUCCCAUGUUAGCAUUAAUUAGGUAUUAAUUUGUUUUAGAAAAAUGCAUGAAAAAUAAAAAAAAUAGUUCACUUUUGCAUUUCUAUUGUUUUAAUUGUGAAAUCGUCGCAAAUUAGUUUUAUUGUAAUUAUAGGCCAUUAAUUAGUUUAGUUUAAAGUUUUAUUUUUAUUAUACAUCUUUACAAAUAUCAGAAAAAUACAAUCCAAAAUUCUAAAUUGGGAAAUAAUAAAAAAAAACGAAGUGAAUUAAAAAAAAUGGAAUAAAAAAAGGAAGAGGAAUUAAAAGAAUUUGUCUUGUAAGAAUAUUCAAAUUUGGGCUUGUUUUGAUUUAAAUCCCCAGCCCAAUCCCAAUUCCACCUCAGAGUGGCCCAAACCCCUUCCCCAACCGAUCCAAGCCCUACUGCUCCGAAAAUCAUAAAAUGAUGUAGUACAGAGAGGUUACUACGUCGUUUUAAGGCUGGUUAGUAGUAAGUAAAUCCUGUCCAUCCAUUCAUUCUCAUCUGAUGGUCAUAAUUGAUUGGUGAAUUUGGAUAUAACUGUCCUAAAAAUGAAUUAAAACCCUAGACAAAUAUCAUCUUCCUCGUACGACCCUAUAACACCGCCUCCCCCGUCACUACUCCGCCGUCCGCCAAAAAACGUGGUCGCCGUCGUAACCAUUUCCCUCAAAUCCCAUCCAAUCAACUUGAAUGUUAAUCCGAAACUUCCCGGCCUAGUGACAAGUAUGUCCAAAUAAUCCCAAAUUGGUACCAUACAAUCACCUCGGCUUCCUUUGCACAAAUAUAUGGGUAUUUCAUUUCAAAUAUGACCAGGCCGCCUCCAAUUUCCAAUCUAGGGUUGUACGUGUUUGGACUGGUUUGGGGAUUUUUUAAGUCGAAUGAACUCAGGUUAAUAUUAUGGGUCUAUUUCUUAUAAAAUGGACAUAUAAUAUUAAUUUGAAGUUAGCUCCGAAGAGAAGUCCAAAUUGUCAUAAGUUUUCUUCUCUGUCUCUUCUUUAGAUUUUCUUUUAAAUUGAUUCGUUGUUUUCUACCAUAUUUCUUAAUUCCCAGUCUAGUUAAUAACACCUCGUUGCUUUAAUUGUUAUAAAUGUUUAGAUUAACUUCUUUUACGUUGAUUUUCAUUUCUUUGUGUGAAUUCUGAUUCGAUUUUGGUUUCGUUAGUUUGAAUGCUCAAAUGUUAAGUGGUUCAGUUAAUCGUUAGAUUCAUUUGGCUUUUUAUUUUUUUCUGUUAGUGUGAUGUUGAUUUGGUAUAGGUCUAUGAUUCCACUAAUUGGCUUAGUUUUAUAUGUCUGAUAAAGUUUUUUAGGUUCAGUAGUAUAAAGGUUAAAUUUCUGUUAAUCUGUUCAAAUAGAAUUUCAGUUUGCUCAUGUUGAUUUUGUCUAUUUUGUUCUUCUGAAACUGGCUCGAGUUGAUUUUAGUUUAUGAUUUUUCUUGUUGGUUGUCAAUUCAAUUAGUGUUAAUUGGUAUUGAUUAAUGAAGAGUUUUAAUUAGGUUUAAGGUUUGGAUAUAGCUGACUGGUCUAGUUGAUUUAACUUUAGUUAGGUGUUAACUAGGGUAAAGAGGUUUAGUGCAGUCAAUAAGGCCAGUAAUUUCAGACUAUUGGAAGGGAAAUUUAGUCAUAGAAAAGGGUAGUUUUAUUUGGAAUAGUAAUUUCAGAAUCAGGACAGGGGUAGUAUAGGCAUUGUACAGCUAAAAGAACCUUCCAAGACACUCCAAAUGGGGCUUUAGUAUAAGUUUUAAUAAUUUUAGUAGUAGUUACUUGGGGAACAAGUUAGAAAUAUGUGUGUUAAAAUGAAAAUAGGUAGAGACUUAUAGUUUGCCCUCUUUUGGCUUAUAAAAUGGCAUUCCUAUUCCCUGAAACACAAAUGGGGGAACCUCUAAAAAAACCCCAAAUCCUCCUCUAGCUCACAGAUCUGAAAAUUAAAAUUUCAGAUCCAAAUUCUUUAGAUUCUAGCUUCCAUCAAAAGAAAAAUCAAAAAAAAAGUAGAAGAUCUUUAGAAAUUAAAAAAGAAAAGUUCAGGAACUACUGUUCCAUUGAAGAUUUCAGGUUUUUGGUGUUUGAUUUUCAUUUCUUAGUUCAAAAUCUUUUGGUCAAGUUUUCAGGGGUGUUUUGAGUUUGCUUAAAGUGAUUUUAGGUGGUUUUUUUUUAUUGAGUUUUGCAUUGCAAAGUUUUAGAAGUUUUGAGUUCGGCUUAGAAUAUGUUUGAAUACAGUCAAGUAGUUUGUGGCUGAUAUUUUAGUCCCUGUUGGUUUCAAACUCUUUUUGGGUCAUUUCUAAGGAUAUUUGGUUUGUUCUGGAAUUGUCUCAGUCGAUCUUUCAGUUCCGAUUGGGUUUAAAUUUGGGUUGAUUUUGGUGAUUUGGGAAACUAUUAUUGCUUUUGGUUUUCAAACCUCUUCUGGGUUAUAAACUGAUUCCUGGGUGGUGUGGUGUUGCUACUCGCAUAUCUAUUGGUUUGCUGAAAUAGUGUUGCUGCUGAUUUUCCCUUUUCUGUUGCAAAUUCCAUUUCCAGGUACAUGCUUGAGCUUGUUGUGAUGUAUUCCUCCCAUGAAAUGGGAAUGCAAUUGAUACUUGAUACAUGCUGAAGUGUCCUUUACUGUUUUAUCAACUCAUUUUAUU